RNAcentral lists this ribosomal RNA (1508 nucleotides) under Clostridium botulinum F str. Langeland. RNAcentral describes it as "16S ribosomal RNA". It matches the Rfam family "Bacterial small subunit ribosomal RNA". Lineage: Bacteria; Bacillati; Bacillota; Clostridia; Eubacteriales; Clostridiaceae. The record is from RNAcentral.
GAGAGUUUGAUCCUGGCUCAGGACGAACGCUGGCGGCGUGCUUAACACAUGCAAGUCGAGCGAUGAAGCUUCCUUCGGGAAGUGGAUUAGCGGCGGACGGGUGAGUAACACGUGGGUAACCUGCCUCAAAGUGGGGGAUAGCCUUCCGAAAGGAAGAUUAAUACCGCAUAAUAUAAGAGAAUCGCAUGAUUUUCUUAUCCAAAGAUUUAUGGCUUUGAGAUGGACCCGCGGCGCAUUAGCUAGUUGGUAAGGUAACGGCUUACCAAGGCAACGAUGCGUAGCCGACCUGAGAGGGUGAUCGGCCACAUUGGAACUGAGACACGGUCCAGACUCCUACGGGAGGCAGCAGUGGGGAAUAUUGCGCAAUGGGGGAAACCCUGACGCAGCAACGCCGCGUGGGUGAUGAAGGUCUUCGGAUUGUAAAGCCCUGUUUUCUAGGACGAUAAUGACGGUACUAGAGGAGGAAGCCACGGCUAACUACGUGCCAGCAGCCGCGGUAAUACGUAGGUGGCGAGCGUUGUCCGGAUUUACUGGGCGUAAAGGGUGCGUAGGCGGAUGUUUAAGUGGGAUGUGAAAUCCCCGGGCUUAACCUGGGGGCUGCAUUCCAAACUGGAUAUCUAGAGUGCAGGAGAGGAAAGCGGAAUUCCUAGUGUAGCGGUGAAAUGCGUAGAGAUUAGGAAGAACACCAGUGGCGAAGGCGGCUUUCUGGACUGUAACUGACGCUGAGGCACGAAAGCGUGGGUAGCAAACAGGAUUAGAUACCCUGGUAGUCCACGCCGUAAACGAUGGAUACUAGGUGUAGGGGGUAUCAACUCCCCCUGUGCCGCAGUUAACACAAUAAGUAUCCCGCCUGGGGAGUACGGUCGCAAGAUUAAAACUCAAAGGAAUUGACGGGGGCCCGCACAAGCAGCGGAGCAUGUGGUUUAAUUCGAAGCAACGCGAAGAACCUUACCUGGACUUGACAUCCCUUGCAUAGCCUAGAGAUAGGUGAAGCCCUUCGGGGCAAGGAGACAGGUGGUGCAUGGUUGUCGUCAGCUCGUGUCGUGAGAUGUUAGGUUAAGUCCUGCAACGAGCGCAACCCUUGUUAUUAGUUGCUACCAUUAAGUUGAGCACUCUAAUGAGACUGCCUGGGUAACCAGGAGGAAGGUGGGGAUGACGUCAAAUCAUCAUGCCCCUUAUGUCCAGGGCUACACACGUGCUACAAUGGUAGGUACAAUAAGACGCAAGACCGUGAGGUGGAGCAAAACUUAUAAAACCUAUCUCAGUUCGGAUUGUAGGCUGCAACUCGCCUACAUGAAGCUGGAGUUGCUAGUAAUCGCGAAUCAGAAUGUCGCGGUGAAUACGUUCCCGGGCCUUGUACACACCGCCCGUCACACCAUGAGAGAGCUGGUAACACCCGAAGUCCGUGAGGUAACCGUAAGGAGCCAGCGGCCGAAGGUGGGAUUAGUGAUUGGGGUGAAGUCGUAACAAGGUAGCCGUAGGAGAACCUGCGGCUGGAUCACCUCCUU